GGGCGCAUGGUGUAGUGGUAUCACAUUCGCUUUGCAUUCAUCGUCUCUGCGAAAGGCCCAGGGUUCGAUCCCCUGUACGUCCA
RNAcentral lists this transfer RNA (83 nucleotides) under Colletotrichum chlorophyti. It matches the Rfam family "tRNA". From Rfam's summary of the family: Transfer RNA (tRNA) molecules are approximately 80 nucleotides in length. Their secondary structure includes four short double-helical elements and three loops (D, anti-codon, and T loops). Further hydrogen bonds mediate the characteristic L-shaped molecular structure. tRNAs have two regions of fundamental functional importance: the anti-codon, which is responsible for specific mRNA codon recognition, and the 3' end, to which the tRNAs corresponding amino acid is attached (by aminoacyl-tRNA synthetases). tRNAs cope with the degeneracy of the genetic code in two manners: having more than one tRNA (with a specific anti-codon) for a particular amino acid; and 'wobble' base-pairing, i.e. permitting non-standard base-pairing at the 3rd anti-codon position. The record is from Rfam by way of RNAcentral. Lineage: Eukaryota; Fungi; Ascomycota; Sordariomycetes; Glomerellales; Glomerellaceae.